RNAcentral lists this long non-coding RNA (7194 nucleotides) under Zea mays. Its description in RNAcentral is "long non-coding RNA (ZMAY_LNC005583)". Lineage: Eukaryota; Viridiplantae; Streptophyta; Magnoliopsida; Poales; Poaceae. The record is from RNAcentral.
GGAGGGGUGGUGAACUGUGGUGGUGGAACUGGUGUGUUUGCAAAUUGGCUCCAUUGUGGUGGCGGUGGAAAAUUUGUUGUCAUGCCCUGUUGCUGCAUUAACUGUUAAACACAUAUGUGUUACUACUGAAGAUGUUGUAUUGAAAUAUAAUAAUUUAGAGUUCGGAUUAUGUGUACUCACUUGAUACAUCGCUUGAUUAUGAGCAUUGCAAGCCUCCAUAAAUUCGCGUUGUUGUCUCAUCUCUUCACGCAUCCUCAUAAUCUCCAACUCCUGCUCGUUCGGUCGACGAGAGCAUGAGCUACAGGAAGAUGAACCCGUCCUCUGAGAUCUCACCGACGACGAGUCAAUGAAUCCAUCGAAGAGUGCGUAUCUAUAAGUGAUUCAAAAAAUGUUAUUACUGCAUAAUCAAUUUAGUGUCAACCAUAUAAUUUCAUAAGUUAGAGCUUACCGUCCAUGCGCUUUGCCACCACCACUUGCGUACACCACCGAGGGAUCCACCGGUUCAUGGCGCCAGUCGAAGUCAGGGCCAUGGCGACGAACCAUCUCCUCCCCAUAUGCCGCCUAUACAUCAUUCACAACCUUACAAAUGCAGGAAUUUAUAUACUUUGAACGUUUGAACUUUUGAGCCAAAACUCACCAAGCGAUCCGUGGCUGUCUGGCUGCAGAGCUGGUCAGGGUUGUUCGGGUCUGGUCCUUUGUGGCCCUCCUGGUAGACCUCAAUGUCACUAGGCUUUUGGCCACUCGUAGCUUCCUGUAUAAACAAAAAACAUUCAUAAGCAAUCAGAUUAUUUGUUGAUCGACAUAGAAAGAUCAAACUUACCAUUCUUUUAGCUUUUCGUAUCAUGUCGUCACCGCCAAACUUGUGGUUAGGAUUGGUUCCUCGACAUUGUCUGUGAUGCGCUGACGCUUUCUGGAAGCCUUCGGAAGCCCAAUAUCGACACCAAGCAUAGUACGCAUCAGGCACGGGCGCCAUCCAUGGAACCAUCACCUGCACACACACAAUGUUACAUAUUAUAUCAAUCACAACAAUAAAUAUAAAGGGUAAAACAAAUUGAAUACUAACCUCAUGAUAUUGAUCCUCAGUCAAAUAUAUCUUUGAGGACCCUUCCUUUUUAUUCAAGGGGCCUGCUUCUUCCAGAUGCUUUUGAAAAUACAGGUUUGUAGCCUGAAUUCUCGCAUAGUAUAUGGCAUCCUUCACCAGCUUCUUUGCAUUGUUUUGCAAGACACGUUCAGCAUGCCCCAUGUAAUCCUCUCCGUCAGGCAACCGAUAUCGAAGCUACAACAUAAAGAAUACAAAUACAAUGGUAUAAGUCAUAGAUUUACAAUAUUAAGAAACAUAACAAAAAUAAUAAAUAAUUCAUACCCAAAAGUCAUUACGCACAAGUCCCUGUCUGUCGGUGUGGUUUCGUUCCUUUUUAAACUUGUACUCAUCCCAGGUACUGACGAGCACCUCAUCCUCGGUAUCACCGUUUGACACCUUCACUAUACCAGGGUAGUGAAGGCGGCAAAGAGAACCCAACGUAAGGUUAACCUGAGUGUGGUGUCCCUUGCCGUCAAAGGACAGGUCCUCCCAAUUCCUGCAUUACACAAAAACAUUAACAAUACACAUAAUAGUUAUAUUAGAUAAGUUAAUAUAUUACACUCACCGAUCUCCAUGUGGCAUGAUUAAAGUCCUAUCAGCCUCUCGCUCUAUCGCGUGACGAGGCUUUACUGAGUGGCUUUUUCUUGAGCGACGUGUGCGUGUCGCUGAAGAACCUCCCGAGCCAUCAUCCAUCGGGUUGUCAGCCGGUUCGCCCUGUUGGCCCCACUGGUCCCACGCCUGUUGCUGCUCUCUCUAGUGGUCCCACUGGUCCCAUGGCUGGUGAUGCUGUGCGGCCUGGUCCCAUGUCACGUGGUCCACCUCCUCAUUGUGCUCCACCUCCUCAUUGUGCUGCUCAGCCUCAUUGUGCUGCUCCUCCUCAAUGUGCUGCUCCUCAGUGUGCUGCUCAUCCUGGUACAUACAACUCAAGAUUUAUUUGUAAAUAUGUAAACAAAUUUAUUUGUACAAGAUAUGUUACCUCAUCUCUAUGUACCACGCUCAACAGCUCUCGACGUCUGCUGCUGCUCGAAGAACUGCCCUGAAAAAGGCCCAGGCCCUUGAACAACCCCUUCACUGACUUCUUUGAUUUUGGCGGCAUCCUACAUAAAAAAUAAGAAAUUAUUCAUUAGUGCAUCAAAAAUGACAUAAUACUUAAAAUAUAAACAAAUAAAAUAACAAAACAACUUUACUUGUUAAAUAUCAUCAAAAUCAGGAUCUAUUUGUUCUCUUCUAUGCAGAGGUCGCCAUGUAACUUUUCUCCUAACAGGUUGUCUUCUCCGUCUCUCGAGAAAAGUUAAGUCGUUAACGUCUGCAACUAGUGAAUCUAAUGCCGGUGCAGGAUCAAUAUGAAAACUAGUUGGCAACUCUUCUUCUUGAAACACCUCAUCAACCUGCUCAAGGUGACCAAUUUGAUAUUCGUCCUCACCAGGAGUGUAUAGGCGUUCGCGGGGAUUUACAUUGUACACAACCCUCCAUUUAGACAACUUUUUGCAUGGAUAUGUCGAGAAAUAAACUUGGUCUGCUUGAUGGGCAAGGAUAUACGUGUCGUGUCCUUGAAGCAAUUUCUCAGGUUGGAUCUGUGUCAUCCCAAAUUCGGUCCUAUAAUACUUCGGGUCAUACCAUUUACACUCAAAGAAAACUAGCGCUAAAGGCUUAUUUCCAGCAAAUGUAAUCUCGAUUAUAUUUUUGAUUUUCCCGUAAUAGCAGGCUUCGUGUCCUUCCAUGUCGGUUGCCCUAGUAACGACUCCACUAUUUUGAGUGGCGGCCAUAGGAUGACUUGAUUCGAAAAUGCUUGAACGAAAGCGAUAUCCAUUGACGUCGUAACGUCCAUAGCUUUUGGCAGUUACGCUUCCAAUAGAUAACUGACGUAAGUCAUCAUUCAAAUUCAUUUCCUCCCCAAACUGUCAAUCAUGCCACAAAGCAUUAGCAAAUUCUGUAAUAUUAGUUAAAUGAAAUUAGCUCUCGGAGCCACAUAAUUAAGACUUACACAGUCCCGAAGCCACAUAAUGAAAUUAGGUCGCCCAUGCAUACCAUCGCGUCGCAAUUUGUCUAUGUCUCUCGCUGUUGGCCUACCGAGACACCUCAUGUUUUGUUCAUCAAACUCGCUGUCAAAUAUUAUUGUAUGACAUGAGAUAUUUGAUAACAUAAACUAAUUCACAUAUGAAUAGUUUAAGAAAACAAGUCUUACACAAAGUAUUUCUCCACCUCAGGCAUAUUCGUGAACAUGUACAGUAAAGCAGACUUCCGUUCUUCCAUACUGAGGUGAUAUGCCUUGGGUGGACCAACGGCUUUGCCGUUUGUCUGAAAAAUCGAAAGAUCACUACACGGAGGCAUCUCUCGUUCAUCAUCAUGGUACCUUUUCUUUCGAGCAAAUACAUUAUGUUCUUCUGCAAAGUAACAACUUGUGAAGUAUGCUACCUCCUUUAGUUUAAAUUGUUCUGCAAUACAUCCUUCAACUCUUGCCUUAUUGCCCACCAUUGCUCUGGUGCCAGUUCAGGCUGCAGAUCCUCAAGCAUUUGGUCCAUCCUAUCAACAUCAUCUUCACCGUCAUCAACUUCUACUUCUGUUGCUCGUUCAACAUCUUCACCAUGGAGAUACCAGACCUUAUAGCCUGACACGAAACCAUGCGAACACAGGUGUAGUGUGACCUGCCUCUUGGUGUGGCUCGUCAUAUUUCUACAUUUAUUGCAUGGACACCUAAUAUUAUCUAUUUGUGACAAAGCAGCUGCAUAGUCUAGAAACAUCUGCGUCUUGGCAAACCAUUCACUAGUGUGACACCCACCCUUCUUGAAACCUUCAUACAUCCAAUCACGUCUAUCACCCAUUAUUGCGGUUGUGUACGUAAAGAGUGUGUGUGAGACAAUCACGUUUCUACACGUCACACGUAUAUACACCUAUAGGUAAGUAGUAAAACUUUAUAUAUACAUAAAUAAUUAAAUAUACACAUAAAUAACAUCAAAUUAAUCACACAUGUGAUAUUAAAUUAAUAACAUCAAAUUAACAUCAAAUUAAUAACAUCAAAUUAUAUAUAAAUAAUUAUAUAUACAAUUAAUAAUUACAUCAAAUAAUAACAUCAAAUUAACUAACAUCAAAUUAACAUCAAUUUAUAUAUACAUCAAAUUAACAUCAAAUUAAUAACAUCAAAUUAUAUAUACAUAAAUAAUUAUAUAUACAAUUAAUAAUUACCUAACAUGAAGCCACACAUGUGAUAUUAAAUUAACUAUAAUCACACUCUAAUCACAUGUGUUAUUAAAUUAAUACUAAUCACAUGAAAGUUAACUCCCGUCGGUCAUAAAAAACCGACGAAAAUAAACAUGUACACACAUAAUUAACAUUCACAAUCCCAUGCAUUAACAUGUACACACAUAAUUAACUCACGUGGGUGUCGUAGUCGGUUCGGAGAUGCGGUCGGGGGCGUAGGCGGCGCUUGGGCGUGACGGCGGCGCUCGAGGAGGCAGCGACGACGCUCCGAGAGGCGGCGGCGGCGCUUGUGGGCGCGAUGGGAGGCCCGGCGGCGAUGUGGGCGGUGUGGGGCACGACGGAGACGAGCGAGGGUGGGCACGGUGGCGGCGGACGGGCGGGCGCGUGGUGGGGAGGGGCGUCCGGACGCGCGUGCGGCGGGGACGGGCGGCGGGGACGGGCGGUCGGGCGAGCGGCGGCGCCGACUGGCGCGCGGCGCCGAGGACGGGCGGCGGCGGCGCUGCGCGUGGCGUGGACGGGCGGGCGCGGCCGGGAUGGCACGCCGGCGGGGAGGGGCGGCGGCGCGGUGGCGGUGAGAGGCGGCGGCGGCUAGGGCAGAGAGACAAGCGGCGGCGCGGCCAGGAAGAAAGGCAGGGAAUGAGCCCGCGCGGGUUCGCCCGCGUGCUCAUAAAAGGCUAAUCCCCGUCGGCUUGCGAUAUGGCCGACGGGAGUUAAGUAAUCCCCGUCGGCCUAUGUUCUGGCUGACGGGAGUUAAGUUAACUCCCAUCGGCCUACGCUCUGGCCGACGGGAGUUACAUUAUGUCCAUCGGUUACAGUCUAGCCGACGGGAGUUACAUUAUUCCCGUCGGCUUUUUCCCUGGCCGACGGGAAUUAUUGUGGCCGACGGGAAUCAUUAGGAUUCCUGUAGUGAUAGAGAUAUGUCAUUGAUUAUAAUGACAAGUUCAAUCUAUUUGUUAAAAUGGUUACUAUUCAUAUUGUUAUAUAUGUUGCUGUCUCUAGAGGUUGGAGCUUGCAUCAACUUGAUAUAUAGAAUGCAUUCUUGCAUGGGCAUCUAGAAGAAGAGAUCUACAUAGAACAACCUUCUCGCUAUGAAGAUGUGUCAAAACGAUUUUUAUCUUUUUAGCAGUUCACAUCACACAAUAGCUUUUUUCUCAACUCGCAGCCUACAACAAUUACUUUUCACAUCCACAACUCAACCAAAUAGACCCCUAGUAGAUCUUCACUAUCUUUUGAUAUAGAAGUAAAGAGAACUUCAAAUAAGAUUGUACUUACUCAGAAAAAGUAUGUAUCUCAUCUUUUUAAAUAAGUUUGAUAGAUUGCAAACUUGUUUGCACACCACUUUCACUAAGUGAGAAGCUAUCACUUCAUGAAGGACCUCCUCUAGGGCCAAAUGAUGACGCAAGCUAUAGAAGUGCAGUAGAACUUGCGUCAAAUGAUGACCUAACAUCGACUAGAUCUAAUAUUAAGUUUUUAGUAAAUAAGGUAUAUCAGUUUCUAUAUGCUUCUACUACUAUUUGUUGGACAUCAGUCAAGUGAAUAUUAAGAUAUAUCAAACACACCACUAGUUUAGGACUGAAAAUUAUAAAGUUAAAUUCUACUUUUAUCAGUGCUUUCUCUUAUGUCGACUGGAUACGAGAUAUAAAAUGAUAAAAGAUCUACAAGUGGUUUUGUAGUUUAUUUAGACAUCUUAUCUCAUGGUGUGUACUUUAGUAAGACACCGUAUCAAGGUCUAGUACUGAAAUGGAUUAUAAAGUCAUAGCAAAUGUGUAGUAGAAAUUAUGUGGGUGCAAAUUCUUCUUAAAAAACUUAAUACUCCUAGUCUUAAGACAUCAAGACUAUGGUGUGAUAAUAUUGGAGCAAAAUAUUUGUAGCAUAGAACAAAGCACAUAGAAGUUGGGUACCAUUUUAUUCGAGAUAAAGUUCCUACAAAAACUGUUCAAGAUUGUUUUUAUUUCUUCAAAGGAUCAGGUGAUAAAGCUUUAUCUGUAAGGUUAUUAUAGAGAAUUUUAAGCACAAUCCAUAGAAGGGAGGAGCAAAAAUCCUGAGGCAAACACCAGUUACAGCUGCAAAGGUAAGCACUAGGAUGCUGCUCUUAUUUCAGGAAAAGGGCUCCAAGGCCACUACGAUUAUUAUUCAAGGAGCAACAUCCCAUCCAGGAAACAAAGGGAGCACCACGCCUGACUGCACACACACCACCACCACCAACGUUCCCUCUCAACCGACGCAACGCAAACUACUAACAGUCCAUCAGACUACUAAAAAAGCGACACCCGGAUCAAUGAUGGAACAAGACCUUGACAAGGUAGGUAAAUUUAACUCUUGAAGCAAAGAGCAGCAACGAACGCCCGCCGCCUAGCAAAAGCAGACUCUUUUUUUCGCCUCCGGGAAGGGAAAAAAAGAAAGAAAUGGCAAGGGAAAAGACACGACACUCCGAGUGCUCCCUCUCGCUCAUCGAUCGAUCAGGUCUGUGGCCGCCGUCGCGCAUCACUUGCUGGAGGGCUCUCCCUCCACGGCCAGCGGCACGGUGCUCGCCAUGGUGCGGUACUUGAGCGCGUACAGCAUCUCCAGGUACCGCCGGGUCUCGCGCCUCUCCAGGUUGGACACGUACUUCCAGAACCCGUACACGCCGGUGAGGGUCAUCAGCCUCUCCGAGUAGAGCUUCCAGGUGUACCUGCAGUACCGAACGCGACGACCGGUAAGAAGCACAUCAAAAAAAACGGCUGGGGAAACCAUCUUCACGUCAGUGCAUACUUCUCCUCGAUACGCUGGAGCCCGCCCUGGGAGAUCUUGCUCCAGUGGCUCGGGUCCGCCUGGCACUUGUCGAAGAAGUCCACGAGCAGGGCCGACGCCUUGUCGCCCUGGUAAGGGUCGAUGUGGUAGCCAGACACGCCGUGCACGAUGAUCUCGGCCGGACC